This 429-nucleotide ribosomal RNA is filed under the name Acidobacteriota bacterium. RNAcentral describes it as "Acidobacteria bacterium partial 16S ribosomal RNA". It matches the Rfam family "Bacterial small subunit ribosomal RNA", at positions 355 to 776 of the family's 1533-position model. The record is from RNAcentral. Lineage: Bacteria; Pseudomonadati; Acidobacteriota.
UGGGGAAUUUUGGACAAUGGGGGAAACCCUGAUCCAGCCAUCCCGCGUGUGCGAUGAAGGCCUUCGGGUUGUAAAGCACUUUUGGCAGGAAAGAAACGUCAUGGGUUAAUACCCCGUGAAACUGACGGUACCUGCAGAAUAAGCACCGGCUAACUACGUGCCAGCAGCCGCGGUAAUACGUAGGGUGCAAGCGUUAAUCGGAAUUACUGGGCGUAAAGCGUGCGCAGGCGGUUCGGAAAGAAAGAUGUGAAAUCCCAGAGCUCAACUUUGGAACUGCAUUUUUAACUACCGGGCUAGAGUGUGUCAGAGGGAGGUGGAAUUCCGGGUGUAGCAGUGAAAUGCGUAGAUAUGCGGAGGAACACCGAUGGCGAAGGCAGCCUCCAGGGAUAACACUGACGCUCAUGCACGAAAGCGUGGGGAGCAAACAGG